This 372-nucleotide ribosomal RNA is filed under the name uncultured eukaryote. Its description in RNAcentral is "partial 18S ribosomal RNA". It matches the Rfam family "Eukaryotic small subunit ribosomal RNA", at positions 592 to 976 of the family's 1831-position model. The record is from RNAcentral.
CAAUAGCGUAUAUUAAAGUUGUUGCAGUUAAAAAGUUCGUAGUUGGGUUUCUGGGAGGGUGCCGCCGUCCGGCGUGUCCGUGUGCAGUGGCGCCCUUCCAUCCUUCUGUUAGCGUCUCUUGGCAUUCAUUUGCUGGUGGCGGGCUCAGAUAUUUUACCUUGAGAAAAUUAGAGUGUUUCAGGCAGGCUAGGCCGGAAUACAUUAGCAUGGAAUAAUGGAAUAGGACUACGGUCUCUUUGUUGGUUUGAGGGACUGCAGUAAUGAUUAAUAGGGAUAGUUGGGGGCAUUAGUAUUUAAUUGUCAGAGGUGGAAUUCUCAGAUUUGUUAAAGACUAACUUAUGCGAAANCANNNGCCAAGGAUGUUUUCAUNAA